Molecule: RNA transcript, 1774 nt
Organism: Ananas comosus (pineapple)
Lineage: Eukaryota; Viridiplantae; Streptophyta; Magnoliopsida; Poales; Bromeliaceae
Gene name: putative yippee-like protein Os10g0369500
Exons: 3
Source: RefSeq, a predicted model, not a curated record
UCUCCUCACUCCUCAAACUCUAGAGAGAGAGAGAGAGAGAGAGAGAGAGAGACCGUGAGAGGCCGAACCCCGGAGAAUCCCCAACCCUACUUCCCCAAAUCCCCCUCGAAAUCGCAUCUCCCCAACCAUUCCGAUCCCAGUCCCUGCCACACCCUCGUCGUCCUCCUCCGAUUCGGCGCCGAUUAGGGUUUCGAAAGCUGCAUAAUGGGUUUGCUCUUCGUGGAGUCGCUCCCCGACCAGGAACUGUUCAGGUGCGGAUUGUGCGAGGUCGUUAUCGCUUCCGCCGACGCGAUCAUGUCCACGAACUUCACCGGCCGCUUCGGCGCCGCUUGCCUCAUGGACAGAGUGUAUGUGCUCUCCCUCCUCUACCAGCUACAAUGGUGUUUGGGAUCGUGGUGGUAUAAUCUUCGGAAGCUCGCAUGUAAUGGAUGAUGUGAUAUUGUUGAAUCUUGAUUUGAUUUGGUUUUCAGUUUGAGUAUUUGUGGUGUAAUUUCAGAGUGAAUACAACCUCGAGCCAAACUGAGACUAAGCAAAUGUUGACUGGCACUUAUGACGUGAGCGACAUCCAUUGCAGCUCUUGCCAACAAUUGCUUGGCUGGAGAUAUGACCGUGCAUUCAGUGAAGACCAAAAAUUCAAGGAAGGGAAGUAUGUUUUGGAGUUGAGUAGAGUAGUAAAACAUGGCUGGUAAUGCAUAUAGGCGGUGCUAGAGAUGAAGCUCGAAGUCUAUGUGUCGGCGUUGUGGUAGAGAAUUGGCAAUUGCCGACAUGAACUUGUGAGCAAAUACGAUUUUUCAUAGUUUUUGUUGACUUGGACUAAGAUUUAGAGUUCAGAUUGUUGCUUGGCUAAAACGGGAGGAGAAACUGAACUGAAGGUUGUCUUGGCUUGAUGUGCUACUGCAUUUGGUAGCGAAUUAGUUAGUAUUGGAGCCAAACCCUGAUGCUUGAUAUGGACAUCUAAUUCAGUGUCCUAAAGAAGAAGUUCUCUUUGACUAGAACUGUUGCUCAAAACAAGCUCUAACAGCUUUUGUUGUCUAAAACCCUCAAAUAGCUAUUGGUUUUAGCUUAAGCAGAGGCUUAUAGCGACGGGCUAACUUUGUUUGCUUGCUCCAACCAGAAACUUUUUACUUUUUAUUUGUUGAGCAUCUGAUCUCUUUUCUUGGAGGAAGCUGUUCUAAAAGUUGGGGCCAAACAAGCAGAAAGAAUGUGACUUUGGGAUUGAAUCUUUUCAUGUGUAUGAGAUUUGGUCACCAUGUUUCGGAUGGAAAGGUCUGCGGAAAGUACUGUCAAAACAAGCUGCCUUAAGUGUAGAUUUUGCCAUUUGAGAAAGCUUUUAGAGUUAAGAAGGGCCUACAAAUCAUAACUAAUGAUUCAGUUUUCUAAAUUCACAAUUAAAAAAAAAGAUCAAAUAACUAUAAUUGCGGAUUAAAUUGCAAUUUUCUAGCUUCAUUUUAUUUUCACUUGUAGCUUUUCCUUCUGAAGCAGGUUGUAAAUUUUGAUUAAAUGUGCUUUCUUUUCUUUUACCUUUUUUUCGGGGAGUUUCAGUUAGUUCGGAUAUACUUUUCUUUCUAACUAUUAUUAGUUUUUUUGGGAUAUGUUAGCAUUAUGAUCGAGACAUUAUUCUACUUCUGUAUAUUUUGUUCCAGUUUUGUUUUGUUAUGUUUGAAAUUUGUAGUCUAAGCAUAAACUAUGUUUCGAUUAUGACUGUGCGAGGGGGUGUGUCAAUAUUUAAGCCAUUCCAAUGUAGAUGUAAUUUUAGAAAUGUGUAUGUAUUAUA